UCUCUCUGAAUCUGCGAACGGCUCCGCAAACCAGUUGUAAACUAUAGCAAGUUCGUUCCGUUGUCGGCCGCAAGGCUAGCAAUGGGGCAAUAAGGAUAUCCGUGGUAAUUCUGAGGCUAAUACAAGAACGUACCCCCUGUCUGACUGGGCAACUGGAAGGGCGGGGAGCGUGCAACACGGCGCAAAAGAGACUGGGAAUCGGUGCACGCUCAGACCACCAUACAAACGGUUGACCUGGGCUUCCUGGGUGGCUCUUGCAAUGUGCUUCUGACCUAUCAACUAGAUGGCAGCGUAAGGGACAUGCUAUGGUUACAACGGGUACAGAGGAUAAGGGUUCGAUCCUGGAGAGUGGGCCUGAGAGAUU
This 364-nucleotide ribosomal RNA is filed under the name uncultured myxomycete. RNAcentral's name for it is "SSU rRNA". It matches the Rfam family "Eukaryotic small subunit ribosomal RNA", at positions 76 to 405 of the family's 1831-position model. Lineage: Eukaryota; Evosea; Eumycetozoa. The record is from RNAcentral.